This 229-nucleotide unclassified non-coding RNA is filed under the name fungal sp. Its description in RNAcentral is "partial internal transcribed spacer region". The stretch from base 1 to 46 matches the Rfam family "Eukaryotic small subunit ribosomal RNA", at positions 1786 to 1831 of the family's 1831-position model. Lineage: Eukaryota; Fungi. The record is from RNAcentral.
AAGUCGUAACAAGGUUUCCGUAGGUGAACCUGCGGAAGGAUCAUUAAGAGAUAAUAAUUCAUUUAUCCCUUUAACCGUGUUCUGUUUGUGUGAAGCUGGCAGUAGUAGUGUGUCAUCAUUGCCACUGCCAGUAUCUUUUUUCAAUCAUAUCACACUUUUACUACUGAAAUACUAUGAUCUAUAAUGUAAACAACUGUUAACAACGGAUCACUCGGUUCUCACAUCGAUG